AUUGAACGCUGGCGGCAUGCCUUACACAUGCAAGUCGAACGGUAACAGGUCUUCGGAUGCUGACGAGUGGCGAACGGGUGAGUAAUACAUCGGAACGUGCCUAGUAGUGGGGGAUAACUACUCGAAAGAGUGGCUAAUACCGCAUGAGAUCUACGGAUGAAAGCAGGGGAUCGCAAGACCUUGUGCUACUAGAGCGGCCGAUGGCAGAUUAGGUAGUUGGUAGGAUAAAAGCUUACCAAGCCGACGAUCUGUAGCUGGUCUGAGAGGACGAUCAGCCACACUGGGACUGAGAAACGGCCCAGACUCCUACGGGAGGCAGCAGUGGGGAAUUUUGGACAAGGGGAGCAAGCCUGAUCCAGCAAUGCCGCGUGCAGGAUGAAGGCCUUCGGGUUGUAAACUGCUUUUGUACGGAACGAAAAGCCCCGGGUUAAUACCCUGGGGUCAUGACGGUACCGUAAGAAUAAGCACCGGCUAACUACGUGCCAGCCGCCGCGGUAA
Molecule: ribosomal RNA, 498 nt
Filed under: uncultured bacterium
Lineage: Bacteria
Description: partial 16S ribosomal RNA
Rfam family: Bacterial small subunit ribosomal RNA
Source: RNAcentral